Molecule: ribosomal RNA, 468 nt
Filed under: uncultured bacterium
Lineage: Bacteria
Description: partial 16S ribosomal RNA
Rfam family: Bacterial small subunit ribosomal RNA
Source: RNAcentral
GACGAACGCUGGCGGUGUGCUUAACACAUGCGAGUCGAACGGUAAGGCCCUUUCGGGGGUACACGAGUGGCGAACGGGUGAGUAACACGUGAGUAACCUGCCCUCAUCUCUGGGAUAACAGUCGGAAACGGUUGCUAAUACUGGAUAUGAGCUUGCAAGGCAUCUUGUGGGUUGGAAAGAUUUUUUUUGGUUGGGGAUGGACUCGCGGCCUAUCAGCUUGUUGGUGAGGUAGUGGCUCACCAAGGCUUCGACGGGUAGCCGGCCUGAGAGGGCGACCGGCCACAUUGGGACUGAGAUACGGCCCAAACUCCUACGGGAGGCAGCAGUGGGGAAUAUUGCACAAUGGACGGAAGUCUGAUGCAGCAACGCCGCGUGCGGGAUGGCGGCCUUCGGGUUGUAAACCGCUUUCAAUUGUGACGAAGCUUUUUUGUGACGGUAGCAGUAGAAGAAGCACCGGCUAACUACGUG